GCCUACGGGGGGCAGCAGUGAGGAAUAUUGGUCAAUGGGAGAGAUCCUGAACCAGCCAAGCCGCGUGAGGGAAGACGGCCCUAUGGGUUGUAAACCUCUUUUGUCGGAGAACAAAACCCGGGACGUGUCCCGGACUGCGUGUAUCCGAAGAAAAAGCAUCGGCUAACUCCGUGCCAGCAGCCGCGGUAAUACGGAGGAUGCGAGCGUUAUCCGGAUUUAUUGGGUUUAAAGGGUGCGUAGGCGGACUGGAAAGUCAGCGGUAAAAUCGAGAGGCUCAACCUCUUUCCGCCGUUGAAACUGCCGGU
Molecule: ribosomal RNA, 305 nt
Filed under: uncultured bacterium
Lineage: Bacteria
Description: bacterial SSU rRNA
Rfam family: Bacterial small subunit ribosomal RNA
Source: RNAcentral